RNAcentral lists this ribosomal RNA (315 nucleotides) under Triticum aestivum (bread wheat). Its description in RNAcentral is "partial small subunit ribosomal RNA". Lineage: Eukaryota; Viridiplantae; Streptophyta; Magnoliopsida; Poales; Poaceae. The record is from RNAcentral.
AUGAGUUUAAUUAAUAGAUUUAUUAGUGAACAAGGAAAAAUAUUAUCAAGACGAAUAAAUAGAUUAACCUUGAAACAACAACGAUUAAUUACUCUUGCUAUAAAACAGGCUCGUAUUUUAUCUUUCUUACCGUUUCGUAACUAUGAGAACGAAAAGCAAUUUCAAGCCCAGUCAAUUUCAAUAAUUACAGGUUCUAGACCCAGAAAAAAUAGACAUAUUCCUCAAUUAACGCAAAAGUACAAUUCCAAUCGAAACUUAAGAAACAACAACCAAAAUUUAAGAAACAACAACCGGAACUUAAGUUCCGAUUGUUGA